UGCCCCCUCCUCUCUCUCCUCAUUUCUCUCUCCUCCUCCCUUUUAACAUGAGAGAGAUCCUCCACAUCCAGGCCGGCCAGUGCGGCAACCAGAUCGGCGGCAAGUUCUGGGAGGUCGUCUGCGACGAGCACGGCAUAGACACCAAAGGCAACUACGUCGGCAACUCCCACCUCCAGCUCGAGAGGGUCAACGUCUAUUACAAUGAGGCCAGCGGGGGGCGGUACGUCCCCCGCGCUGUCCUCAUGGACCUCGAGCCCGGUACGAUGGACAGCCUCCGCACCGGUCCCUACGGCCAGAUCUUCCGGCCAGAUAACUUCGUGUUUGGCCAGAACGGUGCUGGCAACAACUGGGCCAAGGGUCACUACACCGAGGGAGCAGAGCUUAUCGACUCCGUCCUCGAUGUCGUCCGCAAAGAGGCAGAGAAUUGCGAUUGCUUGCAAGGAUUCCAGAUCUGCCACUCUCUGGGGGGAGGAACCGG
Molecule: unclassified non-coding RNA, 478 nt
Filed under: Hevea brasiliensis (rubber tree)
Lineage: Eukaryota; Viridiplantae; Streptophyta; Magnoliopsida; Malpighiales; Euphorbiaceae
Source: RNAcentral